UGGUGGUAAAUAUAAUUCGGUGGGACUUUGCAUUUAAAGAUUCAGUAAGAAACUGGAAAUUUUUCGACAGUACUAAGUCUUACGCUUCAGUAAGAAACCGGAAGUUUUUCGACAGUACUUACGCUUAAAAGUAUAUCAACACUAAAUAAAAUUGGAAGCUUAUAUUUGACCAUAUCAUUACGACGAAAAUCGACUUAUUUCAAUAUACAGCCAAAGGUUAUGAUACUCUAG
RNAcentral lists this long non-coding RNA (231 nucleotides) under Mytilus galloprovincialis (Mediterranean mussel). Lineage: Eukaryota; Metazoa; Mollusca; Bivalvia; Mytilida; Mytilidae. The record is from RNAcentral.